RNAcentral lists this ribosomal RNA (1091 nucleotides) under uncultured bacterium. RNAcentral describes it as "bacterial SSU rRNA". It matches the Rfam family "Bacterial small subunit ribosomal RNA", at positions 69 to 1169 of the family's 1533-position model. The record is from RNAcentral.
CAUGUGCUUGCUAUCAGGCGUCGAGCGGCGGACGGGUGAGUAACGCGUAGAAAACUGCCCAGUAGUGGGGGAUAGCCCGGGGAAACUCGGAUUAAUACCGCAUACGCUCUACGGAGGAAAGGGGGCCUUUGGCUCUCGCUAUUGGAUGUGUCUGCGUGGGAUUAGCCAGUUGGUGAGGUAAGGGCUCACCAAGGCGACGAUCUCUAGCUGGUCUGAGAGGAUGAUCAGCCACACUGGAACUGAGACACGGUCCAGACUCCUACGGGAGGCAGCAGUGGGGAAUAUUGCACAAUGGGCGCAAGCCUGAUGCAGCCAUGCCGCGUGUGUGAAGAAGGCUCUAGGGUUGUAAAGCACUUUCAGUAGGGAGGAAAAGUUAGUAGUUAAUACCUGCUAACCCUGACGUUACCUACAGAAGAAGCACCGGCUAACUCCGUGCCAGCAGCCGCGGUAAUACGGAGGGUGCAAGCGUUAAUCGGAAUUACUGGGCGUAAAGCGCGCGUAGGCGGCUUGUUAAGCCAGAUGUGAAAGCCCAGGGCUCAACCUUGGAACUGCAUUUGGAACUGACUCGCUAGAGUACAGUAGAGGGUGGUGGAAUUUCCAGUGUAGCGGUGAAAUGCGUAGAGAUUGGAAGGAACAUCAGUGGCGAAGGCGGCCACCUGGACUGAUACUGACGCUGAGGUGCGAAAGCGUGGGGAGCAAGCAGGAUUAGAUACCCUGGUAGUCCACGCCGUAAACGAUGUCUACUAGCCGUUGGGGAACUUGAUUCUUUAGUGGCGCAGCUAACGCACUAAGUAGACCGCCUGGGGAGUACGGUCGCAAGAUUAAAACUCAAAUGAAUUGACGGGGGCCCGCACAAGCGGUGGAGCAUGUGGUUUAAUUCGAUGCAACGCGAAGAACCUUACCUGGUCUUGACAUCCACAGAACUUUCUAGAGAUAGAUUGGUGCCUUCGGGAACUGUGAGACAGGUGCUGCAUGGCUGUCGUCAGCUCGUGUUGUGAAAUGUUGGGUUAAGUCCCGUAACGAGCGCAACCCUUGUCCUUAUUUGCAGCACUUCUGUGGGACUCUAAGAGACUGCCGGUGACAACCGGAGA